UGGGGGAUAUUGCACAAUGGGCGAAAGCCUGAUGCAGCGACGCCGCGUGGGGGAUGAAGGCUUUCGGGUUGUAAACCUCUUUCGCUAUCGAACAAGGCCCGCUUAGGGUGGGUUGAGGGUAGGUGGAGAAGAAGCGCCGGCUAACUACGUGCCAGCAGCCGCGGUAAUACGUAGGGCGCGAGCGUUGUCCGGAAUUAUUUGGCGUAAAGGGCUUGUAGGCGGCUUGUUGCGCCUGCUGUGAAAACGCGGGGCUUAACUUCGCGCGUGCAGUGGGUACGGGCAGGCUUGAGUGUGGUAGGGGUGACUGGAAUUCCAGGUGUAGCGGUGGAAUGCGCAGAUAUCUGGAGGAACACAGAUGGCGAAGGCAGGUCACUGGGCCAUUACUGACGCUGAGGAGCGAAAGCAUGGGUAGCGAACAGG
This 420-nucleotide ribosomal RNA is filed under the name bacterium. RNAcentral's name for it is "partial 16S ribosomal RNA". It matches the Rfam family "Bacterial small subunit ribosomal RNA", at positions 355 to 776 of the family's 1533-position model. The record is from RNAcentral.